Molecule: long non-coding RNA, 490 nt
Organism: Mus musculus (house mouse)
Lineage: Eukaryota; Metazoa; Chordata; Mammalia; Rodentia; Muridae
Product: predicted gene, 32320
Exons: 3
Source: RefSeq, a predicted model, not a curated record
GGCUGCAAAGCCUCACAGUAGCUUGGGAGUUGGAGGCCCACAGAGAGAAUGUCAUUCAAUCCUGAUUCUUUGUGGCCUUGGGACUUGACAAAGGCUCUGCAUCUGAAUCUCUCAGGCUGUUCUGCAUCCUAUACAGCUUCACAUUUCUGCCCAGUAUUUUGUGUCUGGUGUGUAUGAAAAUGUAGCCAUCUAAGAUGAAGCUGGGCAAAUGUGUGUGCUACCAGAGUUCUGUGAGGCUUUAUUCUCGGGACACCAGCAUCUAGAUCUGCAGUCAGGGCUGAGCAUGUCCAGCUCUUUUCAGAUAAGCAUUCCUACUCUGAGAUUCCGGUUUUCCUCACUAUCUGUGAUCUAGGUGCCAAAUUUGAAAACUGUGGCUUUCUCCUCUCCUCCCUCCUCCUGGUCUAUGCCUGGACCUACAGCAUCCCUGCCCUUUUCAUCUGUUUAUUUUCGUUAUUGUUUCUCAAACUGUAAUAAAACUAUUGAUCUUCCU